GCGACAAAAAAGUCUCAUACAAUGACUUGUGAAUCCGUUGACCAAAUGACGGAGAAAGAAAAAGUGCAGAAGUCAAAGCAGGUCUCAUCCGACAACAGCAGAACCAGGACGAACGAUCACGACCGCUUGACAUACGAUCCAUGUUCCAGCAAGCCAGUGGAUACAAAGAAAAAAAUGAAAAGGAGCGAUGACCUAAAGGCAUAACAGAAGCAGUACUUUGUAAGUAAGUUGAGGCUGCAUGAUGAAAAAAUGAAGCUGAUAGCAGCGAAGAUGGAAAGGGUGAAGAACCAGGGGGAUUUCUACCGGAACAUGACUAAUGUACUAGCGCAGACCAGACAGAUGACGGAAAAUGAACAAUAGUACGCUUUUAUUAAACUUGUAUGCAUUAUGCGACGGUUAGUUCUUUUUAUGUGAUCAAUAACCACUGUCACACACAUGGGUAACUGUUGUUCUGU
Molecule: long non-coding RNA, 455 nt
Organism: Dreissena polymorpha
Lineage: Eukaryota; Metazoa; Mollusca; Bivalvia; Myida; Dreissenidae
Exons: 4
Source: RefSeq, a predicted model, not a curated record